Molecule: ribosomal RNA, 731 nt
Filed under: Paraburkholderia sp.
Lineage: Bacteria; Pseudomonadati; Pseudomonadota; Betaproteobacteria; Burkholderiales; Burkholderiaceae
Description: bacterial SSU rRNA
Rfam family: Bacterial small subunit ribosomal RNA
Source: RNAcentral
CACACUGGGACUGAGACACGGCCCCAGACUCCUACGGGAGGCAGCAGUGGGGAAUUUUGGACAAUGGGCGAAAGCCUGAUCCAGCAAUGCCGCGUGUGUGAAGAAGGCCUUCGGGUUGUAAAGCACUUUUGUCCGGAAAGAAAACCUCCGCCCUAAUAUGGUGGGGGGAUGACGGUACCGGAAGAAUAAGCACCGGCUAACUACGUGCCAGCAGCCGCGGUAAUACGUAGGGUGCAAGCGUUAAUCGGAAUUACUGGGCGUAAAGCGUGCGCAGGCGGUCCGCUAAGACAGAUGUGAAAUCCCCGGGCUUAACCUGGGAACUGCAUUUGUGACUGGCGGGCUAGAGUAUGGCAGAGGGGGGUAGAAUUCCACGUGUAGCAGUGAAAUGCGUAGAGAUGUGGAGGAAUACCGAUGGCGAAGGCAGCCCCCUGGGCCAAUACUGACGCUCAUGCACGAAAGCGUGGGGAGCAAACAGGAUUAGAUACCCUGGUAGUCCACGCCCUAAACGAUGUCAACUAGUUGUUGGGGAUUCAUUUCCUUAGUAACGUAGCUAACGCGUGAAGUUGACCGCCUGGGGAGUACGGUCGCAAGAUUAAAACUCAAAGGAAUUGACGGGGACCCGCACAAGCGGUGGAUGAUGUGGAUUAAUUCGAUGCAACGCGAAAAACCUUACCUACCCUUGACAUGUAUGGAACCCUGCUGAGAGGUGGGGGUGCCCGAAAGGGAGCCAU